Non-coding RNA from Fukomys damarensis (Damara mole-rat), 302 nucleotides. The record is from Rfam. NCBI's taxonomy places the organism in Eukaryota, Metazoa, Chordata, Mammalia, Rodentia, Bathyergidae.
UGGCGCCCGAACGUGGGUCUCGAGACGCGGGGUCUUCACCUGAUGGAUGCUGCUCAGAUCGGCCGAUCGACUCCAGGACCUCCGCCCAAAUGGCGAGUUGGCUCCUCAUAGCGGUCCGCUCAGACCCACCCGUCUGAGAAAGCGACCUGCGAGGUAAGUGAGCAACACAAAAAUGGGACAACAGGUUAAUAAACAUGAAGUUUUUGUUCAGGACUUAAAGUCCGCCCUCAGGGCGCGGGGAGUUCGGGUUAAGAAAAAGGAUCUUAUUAAAUUCUUUAAAUUUGUGGAAGAAACCUGCCCUU